This 617-nucleotide ribosomal RNA is filed under the name uncultured bacterium. RNAcentral's name for it is "bacterial SSU rRNA". It matches the Rfam family "Bacterial small subunit ribosomal RNA", at positions 79 to 692 of the family's 1533-position model. The record is from RNAcentral.
CUUGCUCCUCUUGAGAGCGGCGGACGGGUGAGUAAUGCCUAGGAAUCUGCCUGGUAGUGGGGGAUAACGUUCGGAAACGGACGCUAAUACCGCAUACGUCCUACGGGAGAAAGCAGGGGACCUUCGGGCCUUGCGCUAUCAGAUGAGCCUAGGUCGGAUUAGCUAGUUGGUGAGGUAAUGGCUCACCAAGGCGACGAUCCGUAACUGGUCUGAGAGGAUGAUCAGUCACACUGGAACUGAGACACGGUCCAGACUCCUACGGGAGGCAGCAGUGGGGAAUAUUGGACAAUGGGCGAAAGCCUGAUCCAGCCAUGCCGCGUGUGUGAAGAAGGUCUUCGGAUUGUAAAGCACUUUAAGUUGGGAGGAAGGGCAGUAAAUUAAUACUUUGCUGUUUUGACGUUACCGACAGAAUAAGCACCGGCUAACUCUGUGCCAGCAGCCGCGGUAAUACAGAGGGUGCAAGCGUUAAUCGGAAUUACUGGGCGUAAAGCGCGCGUAGGUGGUUUGUUAAGUUGGAUGUGAAAUCCCCGGGCUCAACCUGGGAACUGCAUUCAAAACUGACUGACUAGAGUAUGGUAGAGGGUGGUGGAAUUUCCUGUGUAGCGGUGAAAUGCGUA